GGGCGGUCUCAGACAGAUCUUAGUUUCGUUGGAAUGUUGCAGGGCGGAGAUUGAAGCAGCAGCGCAGUGAAAGGUUUACAGAACGUGCUUGCACCAGAUUGCGAACAGUACCCUGUGUGCUUGCUGGUAAGCAAAAAGGUGCGAACGAGCUUCGAGGUUCAUAAGACCUGCGCAGAGUCGUAAGUUUCUUAGUUACUGACUGUGUAUUUUGGACAAAUUUUGUCGCACGAUGGAAGUUUGACGGUCGAGUUCGGCUUUAAGGUGAACGGACUGGUACUACCUCACUUAUCAGUAUUAGUCUUUUCUAUUCAAGCGCGUUAAAAUUUUGAAAUCGAUAGGGAUGUGAAAGUUGUGUCGCGGGUUUGUGAGAUCAUGAGAGCCUACAAAGACGAGUGGAACUUUGUCUAGCUGUUCCUCCGCUGCUGCUCAGGUGUGUGAAAUAGAACAAACUCGGACUGCACGGAAUCUAAGCGGUUAAUCGAGGCUGUUGUAAUUUCCACACGUAUUGGCCUUUUAGCAGAGAUGUUCCUUUGCAUCCGGUUGCGUACUUUGAUGAUCAAAUAGUUCACCACUUUCUUUGAACUUGUGCGUAACCAGGAGUGAGGGUGCUGGUUCGCUAAGGCUGUUCGUAUGAAGAAUUGCAGGAGAAUGCUGUGGAAGACUUUUACGUUCCAGAUGAACUGAUGCCGCAAUUGGUGCAUGAGUUCAAGGUGUCAUUUCAAAGUAAGAUGUCUAUGCACUGUCUGAAAUGACGUGGCAAUUUUGAGAAGAUGGUUCGCCUAUCAAUAAACAUUGAUGGGAGAGUGCAAAUCAUCAGACAAGCCAGCACAAGUACAUUUGAGAUUUGAUAUUUGAAAAAUUAAAAAAUUAAAAAAUUAAAAUUAAAAUUUUCUAUUUUUGUAACAUCAUUCAUGAUUUUACAUUUUAUUACUCCUCAAAUUUGAACAAAGUGUGUCGGGCAUGAGGCUGUGGUGUGAAAGCGGUUCUAGUGUGAACAGGGAAAUUCCAUGAAGAGAGUUGUUUUGUCAAGCAUGAGGCUAUAGUGUGAACGGGGCCCAAAGACACAGACGGAGCCCCUUGCAGAGAACUCUGACCAUCUAGCGCAGCGUAGAUGAGGUUGCAGUGUGAACGAGGUCCAAUGACAUGGACGGUGGCCCUCGCAGAGAACUCUGUUCACCGAAAAUGAGGUUGUAGUGUGAACGGGACCCGAUGACACUGACGGAGCCUCUUCUAGGGAACUCUGUGCAUCCGGUGGUUCAUAUUUUUGGGAGUGUGAUAUAACUGACUUUUGAAAUAAAUUAGUGAUGAAAUGAA
Long non-coding RNA from Physcomitrium patens, 1314 nucleotides. RefSeq lists it as uncharacterized. The record is from RefSeq and is a predicted model, not a curated record. Lineage: Eukaryota; Viridiplantae; Streptophyta; Bryopsida; Funariales; Funariaceae.